UGUGGGUCGUGAUUCCUUUUCUCUCCCAUCCGCUCACAGUGACGGCACCACGCAUCGACACUGCGACAGUGUGUGCUUGUGUCGGGGUCAGCUGAACACACGCUGAGCGGGGGCCGAUACAGCGAUACGACGGAGGAGGCGCGUGACCUCGGCGUCCCUCCCUUUCCCCUCUCGCAUACCCACACGCAGAGCGACAUACAGACACACGCACGAGCACGUGCCCGAGGGCAAACACGUAGACGCGGUCACCACCAAAGCGUCAUGUCUUCUGCACCUGCAAACUCCGGAGACGUACCCUCCCACUCCCCCGGCUUUGCCACUGGAGCCACCGCCGCCUCGGCCAGCGUCGAUGUCUUCUCCUCAGCUUCUGCCGUUCGCAUUGAGGAGCUCCAGCGCACGCUCGAGGCGCUUUAUCGCGAUAUUCUCUUUCCGUUCUAUGAACCGGUCGAACGCCUCCGCGUCGUGACCAAUCGAGCGAUCCGGAUUCAGGACGUGGUGGAUGCCGUGGAGAAGCAAAGCCAGGGUGCGCUGUGAGACUGAAAGCCCCCCUCCCCCCUCCUUCCACCGAGGUGACUUGAUCAGCGCAGGGAGCAAACGCGAACCGCGGCAUCGGCGUUGUUGUCGAUGCGAUUCGUUGCUUUGUGUGUCUUCGUUUGUAUACUACUGAUGAAUGUUUCUGAGAAUGCUUCUGUGCGUGUGUGUGUGUGUAGGGGGGGGGGGGCGGUGCGAAAGGUGCCGGUGGAUGCGCGCUGUAGAGAGAACGGGAGACGACCGCACUGAAUCUCCCCCCUGUUCGCUCCUUUCCUCUCCUUCCUCCGAUGCUCAGCUUCAGCUUCCACGCACUGCAGCGCUGGCGUUCGGCCUCACCAGCCGACGUCCCUCCUCUCCACUCCUUCCUUUCCUCUUUCACACGGAGACAACCGGAAAACAAGAAGAGCACAUCCACAGACAUGAAGAAGCGAAUGAAAACGUCAAAAUGUCGGCAACGCCCGGAGAAGCGGAGGACUUUACAUCCACUAUCGCAUCUCACACGGCUCCAGAGGGCAAAGCGAAGCAGCCGAAAUGCCUUCGUUUGGGGGUGGGGUUUCAAGUGCGCAACGCGCGUUUUUCAGAGCACGACGGAGAGCGCCGUGGACGAGGGGCAAAUUCUCUCGCACCUCUGCAACGCCCUGUGCGCUGCGUUCAGCUCCCUCUGCCCUGUCGUUCUCUUUGCCUUUGUGGCUUUCCAUCGUCACGCUUUGGACCACUCCCUUCGCCGCUCGCCGCGCACGUGAAACACAG
RNAcentral lists this unclassified non-coding RNA (1281 nucleotides) under Leishmania donovani. RNAcentral's name for it is "gene:LdHU3.27.3280(CDS-product:hypothetical_prote in)". The record is from RNAcentral. Lineage: Eukaryota; Euglenozoa; Kinetoplastea; Trypanosomatida; Trypanosomatidae.